GGACUACUAGGGUAUCUAAUCCUGUUUGAUCCCCACGCUUUCGUGCCUCAGUGUCAGUUGUAGUUUUGUAAGCUGCCUUCGCAAUGGGUGUUCUGUGUCAUAUCUAAGCAUUUCACCGCUACAUGACACAUUCCACUUACAUCAAAUACACUCAAGAAUGACAGUAUCAAUGGCAGGUCUGUAGUUAAGCUACAGGUUUUCACCACUGACUUGUCAUCCCACCUACGCACCCUUUAAACCCAGUAAAUCCGGAUAACGCUUGGAUCCUCCGUAUUACCGCGGCUGCUGGCAC
RNAcentral lists this ribosomal RNA (292 nucleotides) under uncultured Bacteroidota bacterium. RNAcentral's name for it is "uncultured Bacteroidetes bacterium partial 16S ribosomal RNA". The record is from RNAcentral. Lineage: Bacteria; Pseudomonadati; Bacteroidota.